AUUGAACGCUGGCGGCAUGCCUUACACAUGCAAGUCGAACGGCAGCGGACCUUCGGGUGCCGGCGAGUGGCGAACGGGUGAGUAAUGCAUCGGAACGUGCCAUUGAGUGGGGGAUAACGUAGCGAAAGUUGCGCUAAUACCGCAUAUUCUGUGAGCAGGAAAGCAGGGGACCGCAAGGCCUUGCGCUCUUUGAGCGGCCGAUGUCAGAUUAGCUAGUUGGUGAGGUAACGGCUUACCAAGGCGACGAUCUGUAGCGGGUCUGAGAGGAUGAUCCGCCACACUGGAACUGAGACACGGUCCAGACUCCUACGGGAGGCAGCAGUGGGGAAUUUUGGACAAUGGGGGCAACCCUGAUCCAGCCAUGCCGCGUGAGUGAAGAAGGCC
Molecule: ribosomal RNA, 384 nt
Filed under: uncultured bacterium
Lineage: Bacteria
Description: bacterial SSU rRNA
Rfam family: Bacterial small subunit ribosomal RNA
Source: RNAcentral